RNAcentral lists this transfer RNA (77 nucleotides) under Candidatus Vesicomyosocius endoextente. RNAcentral's name for it is "tRNA-Arg". It matches the Rfam family "tRNA". Rfam says of the family: Transfer RNA (tRNA) molecules are approximately 80 nucleotides in length. Their secondary structure includes four short double-helical elements and three loops (D, anti-codon, and T loops). Further hydrogen bonds mediate the characteristic L-shaped molecular structure. tRNAs have two regions of fundamental functional importance: the anti-codon, which is responsible for specific mRNA codon recognition, and the 3' end, to which the tRNAs corresponding amino acid is attached (by aminoacyl-tRNA synthetases). tRNAs cope with the degeneracy of the genetic code in two manners: having more than one tRNA (with a specific anti-codon) for a particular amino acid; and 'wobble' base-pairing, i.e. permitting non-standard base-pairing at the 3rd anti-codon position. Lineage: Bacteria; Pseudomonadati; Pseudomonadota; Gammaproteobacteria; Pseudothioglobaceae (SeqCode). The record is from RNAcentral.
GCGCCCAUAGCUCAGCUGGAUAGAGCAACGGCCUUCUAAGCCGUAGGUCACACGUUCAAAUCGUGUUGGGCGUACCA